CGCUUAGUCGUGUCCGACUCUUCUCGACCCCAUGGACUGCAGCGUACCAGGCUCCUCUGUCCAUGGGAUUUUCCACGAAAGAGUACUGGAGUGGGGUGCCAUUGCCUUCUCCGGCCUGAGUGUCUAGGCUUGUACUAUAAAUUCACCUAGAGGGAAACUGACUCAAAAUCACAUUACAUGUUGGCUCUGUGAUAAUUAUGGAGAUGAUACAAUAUGUAAAAAUACAUACAGAAACUGAAUAAGCUGGACCCCAAUUGAAGUUCUGAUUAUGAUGGGAAGUUCUCUUCAAAUUUUACAAGUCUUUUGGGAUUAAGUGAAUUAUGCAAGAAGAGACAAAUUGGAAAAACAGAAGACGCAGUGUUUGCCCAAUCAAAAGGGAGCUCUAGGAUGAAGACAAACACCUGGAAUGAAAGAACAAUGAGAAAACUUUGUGCCUGGGCUUAGAAAUUCCAUAAAAGAAGUACAGUCACUUCUCACCUACCACCUGGAAUCACUUUAUUAGUGCCUAAGAAUUUGGAAAAAUCUGAACUUGUGUUGCACUGGUAAUCUCUAAGAUAUACUUUACUAUUUACCUAAAUACUUGACUCUUUUUUCUUGGAUAUUGUUCAUAAGUCUUCCUUAGAUUAUAUGUCCUUUCAGUCCAAGAAUGAUUUUAUUGCUUUUUUUUCUAUACCCUCCCAUUUCUCCAGAGUGUUGCUGAGCAUAUGAAAUAAGUUUUAAAGAUUAUUUACUUUCAGUGGAUCAUAGAAAGGUGCAUGGAAGAAUAUAUAUUUUUCCCCCAUCUUAAAGUGGAGAUAAUGAUAUUCACCCGAAUAAAAAGAAAUUUUAUUUUGACCACAUUGUUUUCCUAAUACAAAGACUUUGGUUUCUUCUGAAACCAGUCUCUGAACAUACCUUUUGGGAUCCAUGAGAAUCUUUUCCUUUAAAAGGAGUCAAUACAUUUCCUGACGUUGAAACCAAUUUAGCUUUUCCUAUGUUCAGGAUAACUUAGCUCACUCUAUAAUUGAUCAGGGCUUCCCUGGUGGCUCAGAUGGUGAAGAAUCUGCCUGCAAUGCGGGAGACCUGGGUUCUAUCCCUGGAUUGGGAAGAUCCCCUGGAGGAGGGCAUGGCACCCCACUCCAGUAUUCUUGCCUGGAGAAUCCCCAUGAACAGAGGAGCCUGGUGGGCUAGAGUUCAUGGGGUUGCAAAGAGCUGGACAUGACUGAGUGACUAAGCACAGGAUAAUCGAUUAAGGUGGAUCUGUGUACACACGCAUCCUACCUGUACAAAAUAUUAUUUUCUGAACCAAUUGAAAGUAAGUGGCAGACUUAAUAUCUAUUUUACCACUAAAUAUUUCAAUGUAUAUUUCCUAAAAAGAACUUUAUCUUAUGUAAAUACUGUAUAAUUAUUAAAAUCAAUGGAUUUUUACAUAGAAUAGUUUAUUUAAUUAUUGAUACAAAACUAUUUUAUAAACAACAGACCUUAUUCAGAUUUUUCCAAAUGUUUUACUAAUGUCAUUUAUAGUAAAAGAAGCAAAAGAGUUUUUUCCUGGUCCAGGAUCUGAUUCAGAAUAACAGGCUGCAUUUAAUUGUUGUGUCUUUUUUGUCUCCUUUAAUCUGGAAUUGCUUGUUAGUUUUGCUUUGUCUUUUAUGACCUUGACCCUUUAUUUUUAAAGGCACAGACCAUUUGUUUUGUAAAAUUGCCCUCAAUUUGGAUUUGUUAAAUUUCAUCUCUAUGAUUCAAUUAAAGUUAUGUAUUUUUGGU
Long non-coding RNA from Bubalus bubalis (water buffalo), 1743 nucleotides. RefSeq lists it as uncharacterized. NCBI's taxonomy places the organism in Eukaryota, Metazoa, Chordata, Mammalia, Artiodactyla, Bovidae. The record is from RefSeq and is a predicted model, not a curated record. The transcript is spliced from 3 exons.